This 2783-nucleotide long non-coding RNA is filed under the name Capsicum annuum. RNAcentral describes it as "long non-coding RNA (CANN_LNC010829)". Lineage: Eukaryota; Viridiplantae; Streptophyta; Magnoliopsida; Solanales; Solanaceae. The record is from RNAcentral.
UCAGAUCUGCAAAGAAGCCAGGACACAAAAAGCGGCGACCACGGCAUGGCUGCAAAAUCAUCGGUUGCAUGCGAAAAUCGCAUGCCAUCCGGUGAUUUACCAAGCCAAGAUAUGGGUCGGAUCGUCUUUAUGCCCAACCUGAUUAGCCCAGAAUUCGAAUACUUCAUUAUCAUUAUCUUUAUCAUCGCCUCUAAUUAUACACAUCCAAAAAUGAGAAAAUCAAUCAACGUACGUAGAGAUUAUGGAAACAGAAAAAGACAUAAUUGUUGUAGAUUUGGAAAAUUGGAAGUUGAUGAAUAUAUAUAUAUAUAUAUAUAUGCAGUAGUACAUAUGUAGUAUGUAUGUAUGUUUUCCAUAAUCCAAUAAUUUCCAGAAAAUUAAAGAAUUUCAAGGGCUGUUGCUUUUUUAUUUUUGUGGAAAACUCAUAGGCUAAACAAAGAGGAGCAACCACUGUAGACAUUGGAAUUUUUGUGGAUUUGACAAAAAGAGUUCAAUUUUGUUUGGAACGGAGGAAGUAUAAGGUAAAGGAAAUACAAAAUAAACUAGUAAGACAAUGAUUAGAAACGAAUUUGAAAAGAAAUUGUAGUCAACAAUCUUUCUAUCUAUAGGCUGGUUGUGCUCGAAAAUACUUAACGAGCGAACGUAAUAGCAAGAAAAUAGUGAAACUAUCGAAGGAAACAAAGAAAACUAAAGAACAAAUCUAAAGAUUUUUAGCCAAUGUAUUUAUAGGGUAUAGAGUCUUUUCUAUGGCCAAUGGAAUAAUGUUAUUUUGAAAUCCAUAUCGUAUCAUUAUCAAUGAACAAUAAUCACUUGUCCUUGAGCUUUGAAGGUUGCCGGCCCAAUACUGCGUGUCUGACACGUUGUUUAGCCGAGGAUCGCUUAUGCACCUAAGCAAUCAGACAAAUCGUCCUUUUGUCUCUCCUGUUGUAUACGAUCAUAUCACCAAUAGUCUCGGAAUCUUUUGAUCUCGCUCGAGAAGAUAUUUUUAGGCAUUGAUAUUGCCCUCAAGACUUUGAAGGUUGCCGGCCCAAUAUUGCGUGUCUGACAUUGUUUAGCCGAGGAUCGCUUAUGCACCUAAGCAAUUCGACAAAUAGUCCUUUUGUCUCUUCCAUUGUAUACGAUCACAUCACCGAUGGUCUCGGGCUCCUUCGCUCUCGCUCGAGAAGAUAUUUCUAGGCAUAGAUAUUGCCCUCAAGACGACACCAUUGUGGAUUUGUUCUUUCUAUAUCCACUUCCAAUUGGCUCAAACCCUACCGAAGCUAAUUUGUACCAAUAUAAAUUAUUCGAAGACCAUAAAUUCGAAAGAUGAUUUCAUGAACGAUUCUUGCUCGUGUUUGAAGAUUCAAUUUGCAUUUGUGGUUAGGCUUCAAGAGCUAAAUAUUAAUUUUAUGUUAAAUUAAAAUAUGUGAUUAAUUAUGAGUUGAUGUCUACAUUACAUGCAAGUAAUCCAGUUGAUAUGCUUUCACUGCGUAUGUCUGUUUUCCAACAUAUAUGACACCACAACCAUGGGUAUUCAAGCAACAUAUACCCGCAUUUGACAUAAAUCUCUUUAAUAGAUCAUCAUAUGAUUAUUUGUAUUAAAAUUUCACUGACAACUAACAACACUAGACAAACUAUUUGGUGGUGUAUAAUAAAGAACAAGUUGUAACACCGCCUAAGCUAAUAAAGCUAUUCAUGAAUUAUACUCUCAUACUAAAGUUCUGAUAAUUUAUGUCCUCUGUUAUUCAUCAUUAUUACUUGGGAGUAUCAUAUGCUAAUAAGCCUAGUGUUUAGUUACAGUUUCAUAUGUCUACUCAUUGCGUAUUUAGCACAGCAGUUGGUGAGCUAACGUUCUCAUCCGGAACACAUAGACUUCAAGAGCUCAUUAAUUAUAAAUAAAAAUUAAAACAAUUUAAUAGUAAAAGUCUAUUAAUCCAUGCUCUAUAUUCUUUUUCGUUAUUUGUCUCGCAAACACACCUUUUUUAAAAAAUUAUUCAAAUAAACCUGUUUAUUAAAACACACUUUUCAAAUAAAAUAAUCAAACACCUUUUCCUCAAACUAAUUUAUAAAAAUACUUUUUGAAAUAAGCAGUUUUCUAAUAUCAAUCCCAAACGAAAUCUAAAACGAAGAGAGUGAUCAUUUAGAGGCUCAGAUGUGCAAAGAGGUCAGAACACAAAGAUAGAUGACCACGCCAUGGCUGCAAAAUCACCGGUUGCAUGCGAUGAUCGCAUGCCCUCCGGUGAUUUUACCAAUCCAAGAUACGGGUCGGAUAGUCUCUAUGCCCGACCCGGUUAGCCCAGAAUCCGAAUACAUCAUUAUCAUCACUGCCUCUAAUAUAUAUCCAAAAAAAAAAAGAGAAAAUCAACCAACAAACAUAGAGGUUAAAGAAACAAAAGAAAGCCAGAGUUAAUGUUGAUGUGGAAAAUUGGAAGUUGUAUAAGCAUGUUCUUCCAUGUUUAAUGAUUCAAGAAUUUCCAAGAAACUAAAUAAACAUGAAUCACAAGGGUUGUUGCUUUGCUUUUUAAAUUUUUGUUGAAAGAAUCAUAGGCUAAACAAAGAGGGGCAACCACCCUUGUUAAGAAAAUACCAAAAACUCUUUGUUUUGCCUCAUUUUCUUUCUUGGGCUAACCUUUUCUUUGCUAGGAAAAAUGAUUUUCCACCUUUCACUUUGUGAUUUCUUUUCUUUGUUAUUAUAUGUAGUCUAGUAGAAUCUAGAGUGGUUAUGUGUCUUAUACUGUGGAAAGAUAUGUUGGUUGUUUGUGUAUAUUUGGAACAAAUUUCUAAGUCAUUUUGUUUGAAUACUC